Molecule: ribosomal RNA, 36 nt
Filed under: Fusculina regnans
Lineage: Eukaryota; Fungi; Ascomycota; Dothideomycetes
Description: partial 18S ribosomal RNA
Source: RNAcentral
ACAAGGUUUCGUAGGUGAACGUGCGGAAGGAUCAUU